RNAcentral lists this ribosomal RNA (212 nucleotides) under Staphylococcus pseudintermedius. Its description in RNAcentral is "partial 23S ribosomal RNA". It matches the Rfam family "Bacterial large subunit ribosomal RNA", at positions 1 to 209 of the family's 2925-position model. The record is from RNAcentral. Lineage: Bacteria; Bacillati; Bacillota; Bacilli; Caryophanales; Staphylococcaceae.
AGAUUAAGUUAUUAAGGGCGCACGGUGGAUGCCUUGGCACUAGAAGCCGACGAAGGACGUUACUAACGACGAUAUGCUUUGGGGAGCUGUAAGUAAGCUUUGAUCCAGAGAUUUCCGAAUGGGGAAACCCAGCACGAGUUAUGUCGUGUUAUCUGCAUGUGAAUACAUAGCAUGCAAGAAGGCAGACCCGGAGAACUGAAACAUCUUAGUAC